Molecule: ribosomal RNA, 452 nt
Filed under: uncultured bacterium
Lineage: Bacteria
Description: partial 16S ribosomal RNA
Rfam family: Bacterial small subunit ribosomal RNA
Source: RNAcentral
GAGCGAACGCUGGCGGCAUGCCUAACACAUGCAAGUCGCACGGGGGGGCUUCGGCCUCCCAGUGGCGGACGGGUGAGGAACGCGUAGGGACCUGUCGAGGGGUGGGGGAUAACCGCGGGAAACUGCGGCUAAUACCGCAUGACGCCGCGGCGUGACAGCCGGGGCCAAAGGCGAAAGCCGCCCGCCGAGGGGCCUGCGUCCGAUUAGCUGGUUGGCGGGGUAGCGGCCCACCAAGGCGUCGAUCGGUAGCUGGUCUGAGAGGGUGAUCAGCCACACCGGGACUGAGACACGGCCCGGACUCCUACGGGAGGCAGCAGUGGGGAAUAUUGGACAAUGGGCGCAAGCCUGAUCCAGCAAUGCCGCGUGGGUGAAGAAGGUCUUCGGAUUGUAAAGCCCUUUCGGCGGGGACGAUGGUGACGGUACCCGCAGAAGAAGCCCCGGCUAACUUCGUG